Molecule: ribosomal RNA, 666 nt
Filed under: bacterium SVAL1.50
Lineage: Bacteria
Description: bacterial SSU rRNA
Rfam family: Bacterial small subunit ribosomal RNA
Source: RNAcentral
UGCAGUCGAGCGCAUCCUUCGGGGUGAGCGGCGGACGGGUUAGUAACGCGUGGGAACGUGCCCUUCACUGCGGAAUAGUCACUGGAAACGGUGGGUAAUACCGCAUACGCCCUUCGGGGGAAAGAUUUAUCGGUGAAGGAUCGGCCCGCGUCUGAUUAGAUAGUUGGUGGGGUAAUGGCCUACCAAGUCUACGAUCAGUAGCUGGUUUGAGAGGAUGAUCAGCAACACUGGGACUGAGACACGGCCCAGACUCCUACGGGAGGCAGCAGUGGGGAAUCUUAGACAAUGGGCGCAAGCCUGAUCUAGCCAUGCCGCGUGAGUGAAGAAGGCCUUAGGGUCGUAAAGCUCUUUCGCCAGGGAUGAUAAUGACAGUACCUGGUAAAGAAACCCCGGCUAACUCCGUGCCAGCAGCCGCGGUAAUACGGAGGGGGUUAGCGUUGUUCGGAAUUACUGGGCGUAAAGCGCGCGUAGGCGGAUUAUUAAGUUAGAGGUGAAAUCCCAGGGCUCAACCUUGGAACUGCCUUUAAUACUGAUAGUCUUGAGUUCGAGAGAGGUGAGUGGAAUUCCGAGUGUAGAGGUGAAAUUCGUAGAUAUUCGGAGGAACACCAGUGGCGAAGGCGGCUCACUGGCUCGAUACUGACGCUGAGGUGCGAAAGCGUGGGGAGC